This 278-nucleotide long non-coding RNA is filed under the name Lathyrus oleraceus (garden pea). RNAcentral describes it as "Pisum sativum (pea) long non-coding RNA (PSAT_LNC024257)". The record is from RNAcentral. Lineage: Eukaryota; Viridiplantae; Streptophyta; Magnoliopsida; Fabales; Fabaceae.
CAACACCAAUUACUAAAACAAAAACAAAUACUAGAACAAGAACAAGUACUAAAACAAGAACAAGUACUAGAAUAAUAACAAAUACAACAACAACAACACAAACAACCAUUAAAAUCUAGGAAAUUACAACAGUUAACACUAUGUCGUCUGAUCCAUGGAUCAUUUGGAUGCAAUCAAUGUCGCUUUCAACUUCAACCCACGAACAUACCGUUUCUCCAAUUUCAAAUGAGAUACUUCUUCUAAGCCUCUGAAUCCUUCUGAUGACUUCACCAGGUUCG